RNAcentral lists this unclassified non-coding RNA (727 nucleotides) under Hevea brasiliensis (rubber tree). The record is from RNAcentral. Lineage: Eukaryota; Viridiplantae; Streptophyta; Magnoliopsida; Malpighiales; Euphorbiaceae.
AUCAGUUGCCACAAGAAUUCUCUUGUGCCCUUCCUUGAAACCCUUGUAGCGUGUCAGUCUUUCUUCUUGACUCAUGCCGGAGUGGAUGCAGAUAGAUGGGAAAUUACACUCCAUAAGUAACUUGUUCAACUCUGCUGCUCUGCUCACACUCUUGACAAAAAUUACGACUUGGUUGAAGUCCAACGCAUCCAAUAGGUCAUUCAGCUUCCGGUUUUUCUCCGUCUCACUCAAUUUGAUGUAGUGCUGAACAAGUCCAUGCAGGGUCAACUUGGCCUCAUCAUCAACAUAAAUUUCCAUUGGCUGAAAGGAAUAAAGGUUAUAGUAAAGGAUAUUAGGAGCUUCGUGAGCUAACGGAAUCUGAUAACGAAAUGAACGAUGGAUGAAGAUCCUCCAUCUGUGAAUUUUCUCCUUGCAGCUUAGAGUAAAAGCACCCAACUAUUCCCCAUUCUUGCUCAAUGUGUUUAUACAGCGCUUAUCAAAAAGCUUCCGUUAGAACUCCAAGCAUCAAACCCCAAGUUAUCCCAUUUCAACUAAAGACCUUUCCCACCCCUCUCGAUAUCUUUAACUAUAGGACAAGAACAUGGAAUACAAAGAUUGACACACAAACUCAAGAUAACAAAGAACUACAAGCUUAGUGGAAAACUAGCACUUCAGCACAGCAACCAGCUCCUGAGACACCUCAUCUCUGUUUCUCUUCCCCCGUAAAAUUAAAUUGAGACAAAGAUUA